GAUGAACGCUGGCGGCGUGCUUAACACAUGCAAGUCGAACGGAAAGGCUCCUGCUUGCAGGGGUACUCGAGUGGCGAACGGGUGAGUAACACGUGGGUGAUCUGCCCUGCACUUCGGGAUAAGCCUGGGAAACUGGGUCUAAUACCGGAUAGGACGAUGGUUUGGAUGCCAUUGUGGAAAGUUUUUCGGUGUGGGAUGAGCUCGCGGCCUAUCAGCUUGUUGGUGGGUAAUGGCCUACCAAGGCGUCGACGGGUAGCCGGCCUGAGAGGGUGUACGGCCACAUUGGGACUGAGAUACGGCCCAGACUCCUACGGGAGGCAGCAGUGGGGAAUAUUGCACAAUGGGCGCAAGCCUGAUGCAGCGACGCCGCGUGGGGGAUGACGGCCUUCGGAUUGUAAACUCCUUUCGCUAGGGACGAAGCGCAAGUGACGGUACCUGGAGAAGAAGCACCGGCUAACUACGUG
RNAcentral lists this ribosomal RNA (464 nucleotides) under uncultured bacterium. RNAcentral's name for it is "partial 16S ribosomal RNA". It matches the Rfam family "Bacterial small subunit ribosomal RNA", at positions 28 to 507 of the family's 1533-position model. The record is from RNAcentral.